Drosophila pseudoobscura is the source of this 1155-nucleotide long non-coding RNA. RefSeq lists it as uncharacterized. Lineage: Eukaryota; Metazoa; Arthropoda; Insecta; Diptera; Drosophilidae. The record is from RefSeq and is a predicted model, not a curated record. The transcript has 3 exons.
AUCAAAAGAAAAAAAAAGAAAAGGAAAAGGUCGAACAAGGUACACUUUAGGUACACUUUCUAGAAAGAUACUUUUCAUACCGCCCUCGCUAGCAUAGCUCGAAGAAAUUGGUGGAAUGCAGGAGAUCCAGAAGAUCAUCCGAUUGCACAGUUAUGUUAAAGCUUAAAGCUCAGCUUAGGCAUGCAAUAGGUACAGGCGAAUAGACUUUAUUCAUGUGAAAUCAUUCCCCUGCAUAGUUUCACUUACGGCACACGUAUAUAUAGAUUUUCGUGAUUUUCGCAAUCGCAGAGUGAAUGGUGAAGACACGUGGAGUUACAUAACUUCCAAUUUUUCACUAUUAUCUAAUCAUCCGCUGUUUAUAUGGAUUAAUAAAUCCGAAGAGUGGCGUUAGCUGAACUACCCGAGGGAAAAGUGAAAAUAAAGUGAAAUUCUUGAAAGAAGCAAAGGUACGUUAGUCCACCGUGGAAAGAUAAGGUUCUGACACAGUUUUAUUUAGGGAUAGGAGUACUGGAAAAUCUUAAUACAGCCAAGCCGGCCAACCAAUCUACGGUAUCAACUACUAAAACAACCAAGCUGACCGUUUGGGAGUUAGUGCAGUGCACAUCCACGGCGGCAAAGUGAAGGCUGAACCGUUGACGUUGGGCUAGCUCAAUAUCGGAAAUCAUUUACGGCUCGUGAAAGACCAACCACCAUACACCACUGCUGGACGUCCGAAUUUCAGUUUGAACCUGCCGAUCUCAUAAAAAAAGCCGGAGGACAUAAUCGUCACCAACCUACGAAAACUUACAAAGGAUUGAUGCAUACAAAUGAAUCCGUCAAAGUCAUCUUGGGCCCAACGAUACACCGAUGAGUUUAACCAAUUACUUGCAUACAAAUGAAUCCGUCAAAGUCAUCUUGGGCCCAACGAUACACCGAUGAGUUUAACCAAUUACUGUGAGUACCACUAGUGGCUGAAACCACAAUGUCUAUACACCAAUGCAGGCGUAAGUUUGUUGAAGUAGAUAUAUAUAUACUGAUUUGAAAGAAUAUUACCCCCCUCAAAUGCUCAAAUAAUUAAGUUUUUUUUGCUGAUCCAAGAAGAAGGAAGUCUGUAUAUUUUUGUUUAUUUGUAAAUGUAAGGAAUCGGAUUAUAUCUGUAAUUAAUGUAAAAAAAAA